RNAcentral lists this ribosomal RNA (1502 nucleotides) under uncultured bacterium. RNAcentral describes it as "partial 16S ribosomal RNA". It matches the Rfam family "Bacterial small subunit ribosomal RNA". The record is from RNAcentral.
AGAGUUUGAUCCUGGCUCAGAUUGAACGCUGGCGGCAGGCCUAACACAUGCAAGUCGAGCGGAUGACGGGAGCUUGCUCCUUGAUUCAGCGGCGGACGGGUGAGUAAUGCCUAGGAAUCUGCCUGGUAGUGGGGGACAACGUUUCGAAAGGAACGCUAAUACCGCAUACGUCCUACGGGAGAAAGCAGGGGACCUUAGGGCCUUGCGCUAUCAGAUGAGCCUAGGUCGGAUUAGCUAGUUGGUGGGGUAAUGGCUCACCAAGGCGACGAUCCGUAACUGGUCUGAGAGGAUGAUCAGUCACACUGGAACUGAGACACGGUCCAGACUCCUACGGGAGGCAGCAGUGGGGAAUAUUGGACAAUGGGCGAAAGCCUGAUCCAGCCAUGCCGCGUGUGUGAAGAAGGUCUUCGGAUUGUAAAGCACUUUAAGUUGGGAGGAAGGGCAGUAAGCUAAUACCUUGCUGUUUUGACGUUACCGACAGAAUAAGCACCGGCUAACUCUGUGCCAGCAGCCGCGGUAAUACAGAGGGUGCAAGCGUUAAUCGGAAUUACUGGGCGUAAAGCGCGCGUAGGUGGUUUGUUAAGUUGGAUGUGAAAGCCCCGGGCUCAACCUGGGAACUGCAUCCAAAACUGGCAAGCUAGAGUACGGUAGAGGGUGGUGGAAUUUCCUGUGUAGCAGUGAAAUGCGUAGAGAUGUGGAGGAACACCGAUGGCGAAGGCAGCCCCCUGGGCCGAUACUGACGCUCAUGCACGAAAGCGUGGGUAGCAAACAGGAUUAGAUACCCUGGUAGUCCACGCCCUAAACGAUGUCAACUAGGUGUUGGGUGGGUAAAACCAUUUAGUACCGUAGCUAACGCGUGAAGUUGACCGCCUGGGGAGUACGGCCGCAAGGUUAAAACUCAAAGGAAUUGACGGGGACCCGCACAAGCGGUGGAUGAUGUGGAUUAAUUCGAUGCAACGCGAAAAACCUUACCUACCCUUGACAUGUCCAGAAGCCCGGAGAGAUUUGGGUGUGCCCGAAAGGGAACUGGAACACAGGUGCUGCAUGGCUGUCGUCAGCUCGUGUCGUGAGAUGUUGGGUUAAGUCCCGCAACGAGCGCAACCCUUGUCGUUAAUUGCCAUCAUUUAGUUGGGCACUUUAACGAGACUGCCGGUGACAAACCGGAGGAAGGUGGGGAUGACGUCAAGUCCUCAUGGCCCUUAUGGGUAGGGCUUCACACGUCAUACAAUGGUCGGUACAGAGGGUUGCCAAGCCGCGAGGUGGAGCCAAUCCCAGAAAGCCGAUCGUAGUCCGGAUUGCAGGCUGCAACUCGCCUGCAUGAAGUCGGAAUCGCUAGUAAUCGCGGAUCAGCAUGUCGCGGUGAAUACGUUCCCGGGUCUUGUACACACCGCCCGUCACACCAUGGGAGCGGGUUCCGCCAGAAGUAGGUAGCCUAACCGUAAGGAGGGCGCUUACCACGGCGGGGUUCGUGACUGGGGUGAAGUCGUAACAAGGUAGCCGUA